AUUGAACGCUGGCGGCCGGCCUAACACAUGCAAGUCGAACGCGUGGCGGACGGGUGAGUAAUGUCUGGGAAUCUGGCUUAUGGAGGGGGAUAACUACGGGAAACUGUCGCUAAUACCGCGUACCAUCGGAUGAGCCCAUGUGGGAUUAGGUAGUUGGUGGGGUAAUGGCGUACCAAGGCGACGAUCCCUAGCGGGUCUGAGAGGAUGACCAGCCACACCGGGACUGAGACACGGCCCAGACUCCUACGGGAGGCAGCAGUGGGGAAUAUUGCGCAAUGGGCGCAACCCUGACGCAGCCAUGCCGCGUGAAUGAAGAAGGCCUUCGGGUUGUAAAGUACUUUCGGUGAGGAGGCGUUAAUCGCAGAAGAAGCACCGGCUAACUCCGUGCCAGCAGCCGCGGUAAUUC
This 406-nucleotide ribosomal RNA is filed under the name uncultured bacterium. Its description in RNAcentral is "partial 16S ribosomal RNA". It matches the Rfam family "Bacterial small subunit ribosomal RNA", at positions 30 to 526 of the family's 1533-position model. The record is from RNAcentral.